GAAAUAUUUGAUAAUUAAGCUGCUAACUUAAUUCUUAGUGUAUAAAUUCAUUAAUAUUUCU
Molecule: transfer RNA, 61 nt
Filed under: Cethosia biblis
Lineage: Eukaryota; Metazoa; Arthropoda; Insecta; Lepidoptera; Nymphalidae
Description: tRNA-Ser
Source: RNAcentral